Molecule: ribosomal RNA, 831 nt
Filed under: Colletotrichum gloeosporioides
Lineage: Eukaryota; Fungi; Ascomycota; Sordariomycetes; Glomerellales; Glomerellaceae
Description: eukaryotic LSU rRNA
Rfam family: Eukaryotic large subunit ribosomal RNA
Source: RNAcentral
UGCCUCAGUAACGGCGAGUGAAGCGGCAACAGCUCAAAUUUGAAAUCUGGCCCCAGGCCCGAGUUGUAAUUUGCAGAGGAUGCUUUUGGUGCGGUGCCUUCCAAGUUCCCUAGAACGGGACGCCAGAGAGGGUGAGAGCCCCGUACAGUUGGACACCAAGCCUUUGUAAAGCUCCUUCGACGAGUCGAGUAGUUUGGGAAUGCUGCUCAAAAUGGGAGGUAUAUUUCUUCUAAAGCUAAAUACCGGCCAGAGACCGAUAGCGCACAAGUAGAGUGAUCGAAAGAUGAAAAGCACUUUGAAAAGAGGGUUAAACAGCACGUGAAAUUGUUAAAAGGGAAGCGCUUGUGACCAGACUUGCGUCCGGUGAAUCACCCAGCUCUCGCGGCUGGGGCACUUCGCCGGCUCAGGCCAGCAUCAGCUCGCUGUCGGGGACAAAAGCUUCAGGAACGUAGCUCUCUUCGGGGAGUGUUAUAGCCUGUUGCACAAUACCCUUCGGCGGGCUGAGGUACGCGCUCCGCAAGGAUGCUGGCAUAAUGGUCAUCAGCGACCCGUCUUGAAACACGGACCAAGGAGUCAACCUUAUGUGCGAGUGUUCGGGUGUCAAACCCCUACGCGUAAUGAAAGUGAACGCAGGUGAGAGCUUCGGCGCAUCAUCGACCGAUCCUGAUGUUCUCGGAUGGAUUUGAGUAAGAGCAUAUAGGGUUGGACCCGAAAGAAGGUGAACUAUGCGUGUAUAGGGUGAAGCCAGAGGAAACUCUGGUGGAGGCUCGCAGCGGUUCUGACGUGCAAAUCGAUCGUCAAAUAUGCGCAUGGGGGCGAAAGACUAAUCGA